GGCUCUGACCCGAAAUUAAGCACUUAAGAUACAGACAACUGUGGAUGAACCCAGAAAAGUUAUGACUAUGCAAAGAGCCAACCACACAAGAAUUCUUAGCAAUGACACGUACGUAUCGCACUACUUUUUUGUUGAUUCAAAUCUAACUUAACAAGACAUGUCAACCAGAAAAUAUCCCUUCCUACUCAGACACAGGUAGACACUUUCUC
Molecule: long non-coding RNA, 209 nt
Filed under: Glycine max (soybean)
Lineage: Eukaryota; Viridiplantae; Streptophyta; Magnoliopsida; Fabales; Fabaceae
Description: long non-coding RNA (GMAX_LNC001586)
Source: RNAcentral